UUUAAUUCAAAAAUUACCAAAAAAAUAUUAUUGGCUUCUUGACUUGUUAUAUUCAUUCCUCUUCUGUUUGGUGUUGAUCAAGGUUGAAUUGAUUCAACUUUGAUCAAAUUCAUUGGAUCUUGUUGUUUGAGAAUCCUUAAGGAUCAUCACCUAGAGAGUUGAAUGAAUUUGAUCAAGGAUGAGUUAUCCCUUGAUCAAUUGGGAUUGGUUGUUG
Molecule: long non-coding RNA, 214 nt
Filed under: Lathyrus oleraceus (garden pea)
Lineage: Eukaryota; Viridiplantae; Streptophyta; Magnoliopsida; Fabales; Fabaceae
Description: Pisum sativum (pea) long non-coding RNA (PSAT_LNC004448)
Source: RNAcentral